UUUGUGAAUGCUAAGUUUGAUUAAGAGCUUUCCUUUUUGAAUCAGGGCGAAGGCGAAGUCAAAGAGCAAAGGAGGCUGGAAAAAUAAAGCAGGACGUUUCCAGUACAGCCCGGCCAGUGGGGAGCUGCGGAUAUCGGUCAAGGUUUAGUAUUAUUUCUAUAUGUGCACUGACCCCAUACAAAAAAGGUGUGAAGCUGGUAGAGAAAAAACACCAUCAGUGAAUCAAUAUAGGUGAACUAACCUCGACUCCAGAAGUAAAAGUGCGUUGGAGAGAAGCAAUAUUGCAUUAUUUUUGUAUUGUCUGCAACACCUGAGCCUUGAGUAUCAUUUGGAAAUAUAAAAAUGUCCUUUUAUCUACAUUGUUAAACUGAAAGGAUUCCCUGUCUGUUUGCUCUUUGUCAUCAAAGGCUGUUGUCAAUGAUUGCAUGGUAUUUUGUAUUGUCUUCUGUUAAACUCCAAAAUGAUUGUUUAGAUUGAGUGCCUGCAGUGAGCACUAGGUAAGUCAGAGUACGUUGUAUACCCGUCCCAGACCUGGGAGGUGGAUGCAUCACUCAAUAACAUCUUUUCUCUUUAUUACAAUCAGAAGAAACUUUAGUGCUUUUGUUCCACAAUAAUGAAAAUUACUCUUUUUUUAACCUGUCUGGAAAGCCACUUGGUGGUGUGAAAUUUGGUCUAGAGAAACUGGAAUGUUUAAGCUUAUCCUUACGUAGGAGUGAGUCAGAGAUGUUGCCUGCAGCUGACCCUUCCAACGAGUAAAUAGCAUAGAAGAGUUCGCUGUAGUGUCCAUCCCUCAGAGACAAAACUCUCUCUAGUUAUUCAUUAUUUUCUUCAUGGUAAAACUUGAGAGACUACCAAAACCUGGGCCAUGUUAUACCAAGAGCU
This 882-nucleotide long non-coding RNA is filed under the name Anser brachyrhynchus (Pink-footed goose). Its description in RNAcentral is "lncRNA (ENSABRG00000011858.1)". Lineage: Eukaryota; Metazoa; Chordata; Aves; Anseriformes; Anatidae. The record is from RNAcentral.